GAACGCUGGCGGCAUGCCUUACACAUGCAAGUCGAACGGCAGCGCGGGGCAACCUGGCGGCGAGUGGCGAACGGGUGAGUAAUAUAUCGGAACGUACCCUAGAGUGGGGGAUAACGUAGCGAAAGUUACGCUAAUACCGCAUACGAUCUAAGGAUGAAAGUGGGGGAUCGCAAGACCUCAUGCUCCUGGAGCGGCCGAUAUCUGAUUAGCUAGUUGGUGGGGUAAAGGCCUACCAAGGCAUCGAUCAGUAGCUGGUCUGAGAGGACGACCAGCCACACUGGAACUGAGACACGGUCCAGACUCCUACGGGAGGCAGCAGUGGGGAAUUUUGGACAAUGGGCGAAAGCCUGAUCCAGCAAUGCCGCGUGAGUGAAGAAGGCCUUCGGGUUGUAAAGCUCUUUUGUCAGGGAAGAAACGGCCUGUUCUAAUACAGUGGGCUAAUGACGGUACCUGAAGAAUAAGCACCGGCUAACUACGUGCCAGCAGCCGCGGUAAUACGUAGGGUGCAAGCGUUAAUCGGAAUUACUGGGCGUAAAGCGUGCGCAGGCGGUUAUGUAAGACAGAUGUGAAAUGCCCGGGCUUAACCUGGGAACUGCAUUUGUGACUGCAUGGCUAGAAUCUGGCAGAGGGGGGUAGAAUUCCACGUGUAGCAGUGAAAUGCGUAGAGAUGUGGAGGAACACCGAUGGCGAAGGCAGCCCCCUGGGUCAAGAUUGACGCUCAUGCACGAAAGCGUGGGGA
RNAcentral lists this ribosomal RNA (739 nucleotides) under uncultured soil bacterium. Its description in RNAcentral is "bacterial SSU rRNA". It matches the Rfam family "Bacterial small subunit ribosomal RNA", at positions 31 to 767 of the family's 1533-position model. The record is from RNAcentral.